CUUGCUCAGAUAUGACGAUGGACAUUGCAAAGAGUGGCGAACGGGUGAGUAACACGUGGGAAACCUACCUCUUAGCAGGGGAUAACAUUUGGAAACAGAUGCUAAUACCGUAUAACAAUGACAACCGCAUGGUUGUUAUUUAAAAGAUGGUUCUGCUAUCACUAAGAGAUGGUCCCGCGGUGCAUUAGCUAGUUGGUAAGGUAAUGGCUUACCAAGGCGAUGAUGCAUAGCCGAGUUGAGAGACUGAUCGGCCACAAUGGGACUGAGACACGGCCCAUACUCCUACGGGAGGCAGCAGUAGGGAAUCUUCCACAAUGGGCGAAAGCCUGAUGGAGCAACGCCGCGUGUGUGAUGAAGGGUUUCGGCUCGUAAAACACUGUUGUAAGAGAAGAAUGACAUUGAGAGUAACUGUUCAAUGUGUGACGGUAUCUUACCAGAAAGGAACGGCUAAAUACGUGCCAGCAGCCGCGGUAAUACGUAUGUUCCAAGCGUUAUCCGGAUUUAUUGGGCGUAAAGCGAGCGCAGACGGUUAUUUAAGUCUGAAGUGAAAGCCCUCAGCUCAACUGAGGAAUUGCUUGGAAACUGGAUGACU
RNAcentral lists this ribosomal RNA (592 nucleotides) under Weissella confusa. RNAcentral's name for it is "bacterial SSU rRNA". It matches the Rfam family "Bacterial small subunit ribosomal RNA", at positions 63 to 642 of the family's 1533-position model. Lineage: Bacteria; Bacillati; Bacillota; Bacilli; Lactobacillales; Lactobacillaceae. The record is from RNAcentral.